Molecule: ribosomal RNA, 2942 nt
Filed under: uncultured bacterium AD370-D1
Lineage: Bacteria
Description: bacterial LSU rRNA
Rfam family: Bacterial large subunit ribosomal RNA
Source: RNAcentral
UCAAGCUACUAAGGGCGUACGGUGGAUGCCUUGGCGCAAGCAGGCGAUGAAGGACGUGGCCAACUGCGAAAAGCCUCGGGGAGUUGUAAGUAAGCUGUGAUCCGGGGAUGUCCGAAUGGGGAAACCCGAUCGGUGUGAACACCGAUCAUCGUCGGUUGAAUACAUAGGCCGACGAAGCAAACCCAGGGAAGUGAACCAUCUCAGUACCUGGAGGAGAAGAAAACAACCGUGAUUCCGCUAGUAGCGGCGAGCGAAAGCGGAUCAGCCCAAACCAGAUGACUCGUAAGGGAAGUCUGGGGUUGUAGGACCACAUCAUGGACCGUAGAGGUUAGUCGAACGGUUUGGAAAAUCCGACCAUAGAGGGUGACAGUCCUGUAGACGAAAACCGAAGCGGCCUAGUGGGAUCCUGAGUACCGCGGGACACGUGAAAUCCUGUGGGAAUCUGCCGGGACCAUCCGGUAAGGCUAAAUACUCGCUUGCGACCGAUAGUGAACUAGUACCGUGAGGGAAAGGUGAAAAGCACCCCUGCUAGGGGAGUGAAAUAGUAUCUGAAACCGUAUGCCUACAAGCAGUGGGAGGGCUAUGGUCCGUUUCGGCGGACAACGCCUGACCGCGUGCCUUUUGCAUAAUGAGCUGGCUAGUUAUUCUCAGUGGCUAGGUUAAGCAUAAGCGAGCCGCAGCGAAAGCGAGUCUGAAUAGGGCGUCGAGUCGCUGGGAAUAGACGCGAAGCGGAAUGAUCUACCCUUGGCCAGGGUGAAGUCUGUGUAACAACAGAUGGAGGCCCGAACCAGUGUCGGUUGAAAACGGCUUGGAUGAGCUGAGGGUAGGGGUGAAAGGCUAAUCAAAUUCCGUAAUAUCUCGUUCUCUCCGAAAUAGCUUUAGGGCUAGCCUCGCGUAUCUGCAGCGGUGGUAGAGCACUGGAUGGACUAGGGGGUUUCACAACUUACUGAAUCCAACCAAACUUCGAAUGCCGCUGACAUCGAGCGCGGGAGUCAGACUGUGGGGGCUAAGCUUCAUAGUCGAGAGGGAAACAACCCAGACCGCCGGCUAAGGUCCCGAAAUUGACGCUAAGUGGGUAAGGAAGUCGGAAGGCCCAGACAGCCAGGAGGUUGGCUUAGAAGCAGCCACCCUUUAAAGAAAGCGUAAUAGCUCACUGGUCAAGCCUUUCGGCGCCGAAAAUGUAUCGGGGCUCAAGCGUCGUACCGAAGCCGCGGAUCCAAAAUCCCUUCGGGGGUUUUGGAUGGUAGGAGAGCAUUCUGAGCUGGUUGAAGCCGGACUGGAAAGACCGGUAGACGGCUCCGAAGAGACUCUGCCAGCAUUAGUAGCGAUAAACCAGGUAAGAACCCUGGUCGCCGUAAGUCUAAGGUUUCCUGAGCAAGGUUAAUCCGCUCAGGGUUAGUCGGGACCUAAGGUGAGGCCGAAAGGCGUAGCUGAUGGACGCGCGGUUAAUAUUCCGCGACUACCUUUGAUUCGUUUGACGAUGGGGGGACGCAGGAGGCUAAGUGAGAGUAGUGAUGGAUAUCUACUUCGGUCGUCAUAAGGUGUCUUGGGCAGGUAAAUCCACCCAGGAGUUAUCACUGAAGACGGACGCGAUCGGGAAACCGAACAAAGUCACGACGCCACACUGCCAGGAAAAACCUCUAAGGAGAAUCAAGGUACCCGUACCGUAAACGGACACACGUAGACGAGAAGAGUAUUCUCAGGCGCUCGGGUGAUGGGUUGUUCAGGAACUCGGCAAAUUCGCCCCGUAACCUAGGGAGAAGGGGCGCCUCCUUCACAGGAGGCCGCAGUGAAAAGUUCCAGGCGACUGUUUAACAAAAACACAGGUCUCUGCUAAGUCGAAAACGACGUAUAGGGGCUGACGCCUGCCCGGUGCCGGAAGGUUAAGGGGAGCGGUUAAUUUCUUCGGAAAUGAAGCUGUGAACCGAAGCCCCGGUGAACGGCGGCCGUAACUAUAACGGUCCUAAGGUAGCGAAAUUCCUUGUCGGGUAAGUUCCGACCUGCACGAAUGGCGUAACGAUCUGGAAACUGUCUUAACAACCUGCCCGGCGAAGUUGUGGUCCCGGUGAAGACGCCGGGUGCCCGCCACAAGACGGAAAGACCCCGUGCACCUUUACUACAACUUACCAGUGAAUCGUGGUUCAGUUUGCGCAGAAUAGGUGGGAGGCUUUGAACCCGGGUUUUUGGACUCGGGGGAGCCAUCGGUGAGAUACCACCCUAGCUGUGUUGCGAUUCUAACCUGCUUCCCUGAUCGGGAAGAGGGACCCUGGUUGGUGGGUAGUUUGACUGGGGCGGUCGCCUCCCAAAAUGUAACGGAGGCGCGCGAAGCUCGGCUCAGACUGUUUGGAAAUCAGUCGUAGAGUGCAAUCGCAUAAGCCGAGUUGACUGCGAGACCUACAAGUCGAGCAGGUGCGAAAGCAGGCGAUAGUGAUCCGGCGGUUCCGCAUGGAAGGGCCGUCGCUCAACGGAUAAAAGGUACGCCGGGGAUAACAGGCUGAUCUGGGCCAAGAGUUCAUAUCGACGCCCGGGUUUGGCACCUCGAUGUCGGCUCAUCGCAUCCUGGGGGUGAAGAAGCUCCCAAGGGUUGGGCUGUUCGCCCAUUAAAGCGGUACGUGAGCUGGGUUCAGAACGUCGUGAGACAGUUCGGUCCCUAUCUGUGGUGGGCGUAGGAGAUUUGAGGGAACCUGUUCUUAGUACGAGAGGACCGGAACGGACGAACCUCUUGUGAUCCAGUUGUCACGCCAGUGGCAUAGCUGGGUAGCGAAGUUCGGUUGAGAUAAGCGCUGAAAGCAUAUAAGCGCGAAACUUAUCCCAAGAUGAGAUCUCCCAAGGGGAUAACCCCUAAGAAGGGCACUCGAAGACUACGAGUUUGAUAGGACGGAUGUGUAAGCGUGGUGACACGUUCAGCUAACCGUUACUAAUCGCCCGUUCGGCUUGACCAU